AUGACGAUGGUGGAGGGUCAGGGUCAGGGGAUUAGCGAAAUAAGAAUCUUGACCACAACUCAGUCAAGUAGGAGUGUUGGAAGACCUCUAAAAAAAGCAGAAACCAGCGUAGUUAAGCGCGGAAGGGAAAGUAGUGCAAGUAGAGGGAAAAAUAAGCGACAGAAAAAACGUUCAAACAAAUUAUUUUCAGUUUUUUAG
This is a non-coding RNA of Vicia faba (fava bean), 198 nucleotides long. NCBI's taxonomy places the organism in Eukaryota, Viridiplantae, Streptophyta, Magnoliopsida, Fabales, Fabaceae. The record is from the annotation of a GenBank genome assembly.